UCCAGCCACUGCGCUCAGAACGCAGGUACUCUAGUAUUUGGCAGUAUUUUUUCUUGCGGGCGCGUGGGAAGGAUGGUCCAAUGUCAGGUUCAAUGAAACCACUCGAGGGGCCGCCUCCUGAACUGUUUGCCAGGCUUGGGGUGAGCUCAACGCUGUUGGCAUUCCUUCCCUCAUUUUGUUUGUUCCUUCCUGCCCACCAGACACGCCUGGCUCCGCUAGUGCUGUGUUCUUAUCAGCGGGCAGGCACCUUGUGGUGACUUGAGGUUAACUGGAGCGCUUAUAUAGGCUGAGGUCCCGCAGUGGCGGCCGAGGCCAGCCGUGCAAGGGGGACACGCUGGCAGGGGGCCUUGGGAGCCCAGGGAAGGGGAGCCUCACUCACGCAGGCGCUGGGUCCAGUCAACCAUGGAUGGACGUUCCAGGCGGAGCAAGCGGCCCUUGCGAAGGCCUGAGGAACGUGGAGGAAUGUGUUGAGUCCAAGACAGAGCAAGCAGCUUGGCAGAACUGGAGUGGACUCCAAGAAGGUGGAGCAGGUGACUGAAGUCAGGCAAAGGAGGCUGAGGCUGUGAAGGCCGGGACACACAGCGACUGGGAACUAAAACGGUGCCAAACUGGCGGGGCCACCUGAUCUUGGACUGUGAAUCACCACACUUGAAGAUAAAAUACACCUUCUCCUGUCUUCUCGUAUGGUUUUAGUUAAAGUCACAGAAAGCUGACUAAUACGCCAAGAAGGGCGCAUGGAUCAUGUUGAUUUGAUAAAGAAGAGUAUGUAACUAUGGAGGAAGAAAUGAAGGAAUGGAACCACCAAUACCAAAAUGUAGUACUGAGCUGGGUGAAUACGGAUAGCCUGAGGUAGGGUAUUACGCAUAGCAUAAUCCCAUAUCUUUACCAUUUGAAGCAUGCAGAACCCACUGUCUUGCUUACGGGCACACUUAUAUAUAGAGAGAAGGUUUUAGAAAGAGAAGAAGGGAAUAACACCAGUCAUCAUAUUGUCUUCUGUCAACGAAGAAAGUGAAUGGAACCGAGGAUGGGUACAAAGGGGCCUUCAACUAUCUUUGUGAUAUUUUAUGCUUAAAUUUGAUAAUAAAUACUGGGCUGUUCCUUU
Molecule: non-coding RNA, 1102 nt
Organism: Oryctolagus cuniculus (rabbit)
Lineage: Eukaryota; Metazoa; Chordata; Mammalia; Lagomorpha; Leporidae
Source: RefSeq, a predicted model, not a curated record